GCAGAGGAUGACGUCAUGCUUCCCGGAGCAACAGUCACUUCGGCAUUGCUCAAGCUUUGGGCAUGUCUUCCUUCCAAAACAACUCUUUGUCAGGCACAGGGGUGACAUCUCCUGAUUGACUGACUUCUCAUCUUCUACCUGUGAGGGAGAAACCAUAAUCCACAAGUCCUGAGACUAAGACCAUCACAUACAAAGCAUUUAUAUUUCACUGGAGCAAGUUGCAUCUGCCUCUGCUGUUCAAGGGCAACCUCGCCUGUGCUGUGGCUUUUGCUUCACUCUGUCUCUCCUUCCACUCUGGCCUCAUGUCUUCCUGCAUGAAAUAGUGCACGUGCCCUAAGGCAACAACCUCUUAAAGAAAAAAAGAUGGAAAGUUUAGUCUUACCGUUACAACAAGGACAAAUCAGCUGUGACUGACAGCAAACUGAGAGGUCCUGGCCUAAACACAUAGUUAUCUCCUCAUGAAAUGAAGUCAUCUUGGCUGAUGAAGUGGAGCCAGGACAGCGUCAGGGACCUAGGCUCCUUUUAUCUUUCUGGUCUACCCUCCUCUGGCUUCCUUCUGCAAAAUCCCUUAAGCUGCAAGAUGGAGACCAUCUCUACAACCACCGUUCAGGCCUAACCACAUAGUAUACAUCAGCAAUAAUACGAAUGUGGAACCUGCGGACGCCACGGGCCGAGUGUACAAAUCAACGUUAAACAUGUAACGACUUAUUUCCGGCAAUCCUUUGAACAGCCAAGAAAAAGAUGGUUUUAUACCACUCCCAUUUGUUCUAUCUUUGAAUAAAGAAAAUG
This is a long non-coding RNA of Tupaia belangeri chinensis (Chinese tree shrew), 789 nucleotides long. RefSeq lists it as uncharacterized. Lineage: Eukaryota; Metazoa; Chordata; Mammalia; Scandentia; Tupaiidae. The transcript is spliced from 4 exons. The record is from RefSeq and is a predicted model, not a curated record.